GGCUGUGGCUGGAUUCAAGUAAUCCAGGAUAGGCUGUUUCCGUCUGUGAGGCCUAUUCUUGAUUACUUGUUUCUGGAGGCAGCU
Molecule: microRNA precursor, 84 nt
Organism: Panthera pardus (leopard)
Lineage: Eukaryota; Metazoa; Chordata; Mammalia; Carnivora; Felidae
Gene: MIR26A2
Product: microRNA 26a-2
Source: Ensembl